This 396-nucleotide long non-coding RNA is filed under the name Setaria viridis. RNAcentral describes it as "long non-coding RNA (SVIR_LNC004169)". Lineage: Eukaryota; Viridiplantae; Streptophyta; Magnoliopsida; Poales; Poaceae. The record is from RNAcentral.
UCCAAUUCAAGCCUUACUCAUAAAGCAUAAUCAAAACUGAAGCACUUGAUCACAUAAAGCAUGGGUAUUGCAUAAACAAAUCAACUACUAAACUCCACAACUAAGAUUUAGAAUUCAAGGCAAUGCUCAUGAUCCAAUAUUGCGAAGGCAAAAUAAAAUACAAGCAAGCCGAGGUAGACACUAAAAACACUCACAUGAUCCUCGAAUUUUAUUCAUGCUUCUUCUCACAAAGAUGCUAAAGUAGCAAUCUAGGCAUAAGUCUUCCCAGAAGCUUAAGAAGACUACUACUUUAUCUACUUUUGAUUGAAAUAAAAACACUAAUUUAGACUCUCACAUGACUCAACUCAACCAAACUAGAUCCAAAACCUCCUUACGAGCAGCGAUCUCCCCCCUUCC